Molecule: ribosomal RNA, 440 nt
Filed under: uncultured bacterium
Lineage: Bacteria
Description: bacterial SSU rRNA
Rfam family: Bacterial small subunit ribosomal RNA
Source: RNAcentral
GACGAACGCUGGCGGCGUGCCUAACACAUGCAAGUCGAACGGAGAUACAGGGGCUUGCCCUUGUAUUUUAGUGGCGGACGGGCGAGUAACGCGUGAGGAACCUGCCCUUGAGAGGGGAAUAACGACCGGAAACGGGCGCUAAUACCGCAUGACAUAUUGGGACGGCAUCGUUCUGAUAUCAAAGGAGCAAUCCGCUCAAGGAUGGCCUCGCGUCCGAUUAGCUAGUUGGUGGGGUAACGGCUCACCAAGGCGACGAUCGGUAGCCGAACUGAGAGGUUGAUCGGCCGCAUUGGGACUGAGACACGGCCCAGACUCCUACGGGAGGCAGCAGUGGGGGAUAUUGGUCAAUGGGGGGAACCCUGAACCAGCAACGCCGCGUGAGGGAAGACGGCCUUCGGGUUGUAAACCUAAGUGAUCAGGGAAGAAGGAAGUGACAGUAC